GAACUCACUGAGGCAGCCUGCCAUCUAGCUUUUUCACAGCAAAAUAGGCUUGCAGACUGCAGAUGAGAGACUCGGGAGCAGAGACAAUUUUAACUUAGCCAUCCCUAAUUUAUCUCAAGCUUUUUCAAUUCAUCUUCACUGCUCUGUGCACAUGGAACACCAGAUUGUCAACCCCUGGGAACUGAAUGCAACCAGGGAUCUAGAGAGCUGUCACAUCCUGAGAAAUAUUUAAAUUGUGCUGAUUUUCUUCUGGAGUGCUGAGCAGAGGGAAUGAAACUCUCCAUCAAGUCAUAGCUUUGUGGGCAAUAGAUCAGAGGAUACUGCCAGUUUUUCUAAUGGAUUAUUGUUAUCGGGCAGGUUCUUCCUGAAGAGUCAUUUUAGUGCAGCAGCUAUAUCAUGGAUUUUUUUGUGUGACCUUGAUAACUGCUGUCAAGCCCUUCAGAUAACUGCCAGAUUUGUCAAGGUUAAAAGGGUGAACACUCUGCAAAUGGUACAUUUCUACAUUUUGUGUCUCUCUUAUAAACCCGAAGAACAGUUUUGCGGAAGGUUGCUGGGAUCACAUGGUGUUAUGAGACGGGAUAAGUUUACUGUCUUCUGAGAGAAAUUAUUGCUUGAUCCUCUCUAAACAAGACUUAUGGAAGUGGCCACACAAACCUGUCUGAACUCCAGUGGCUCCAGAACUACUUGUCUUGAGCCUAAGACUUGAAAGCACUUUAUAAGGAAGGAAGUGACUAGAACAUAAACUUUCGCCAUCCUCUACAGGAAUGAUACCUAGUACAGAAAUUAAAAAAUAUAUCCGCUGCCUUCUGUAUCCAUCAGGUGAUUCUUUUACACCAUCGUGUUAAAAGUAAGACUGAGGAGUUCAAAAUAUUGUUCUUAAAAUGUUGAGCUGUGCAAAACAAAUAACAAAAACAGACAAAGUAUUAAAUUUUCGAACUUUAAGCUUCCUACUGUAAGUUCCUGGUAUUAACCUGGAUUCUUUCAUCUCUCUUCAAUGACCAUGCUAUGCUUUUAAUUCUCUUUACACCAUCUACAAUCUCAUAGCCCAUGCUGAGUCA
Molecule: long non-coding RNA, 1058 nt
Filed under: Calidris pugnax (ruff)
Lineage: Eukaryota; Metazoa; Chordata; Aves; Charadriiformes; Scolopacidae
Description: lncRNA (ENSCPUG00000003026.1)
Source: RNAcentral